RNAcentral lists this ribosomal RNA (442 nucleotides) under uncultured bacterium. Its description in RNAcentral is "partial 16S ribosomal RNA". It matches the Rfam family "Bacterial small subunit ribosomal RNA", at positions 338 to 795 of the family's 1533-position model. The record is from RNAcentral.
CCUACGGGAGGCAGCAGUGGGGGAUAUUGCACAAUGGGGGAAACCCUGAUGCAGCGACGCCGCGUGGGCGAAGAAGUAUUUCGGUAUGUAAAGCCCUAUCAGCAGGGAAGAAGAACUGACGGUACCUGAGUCAGAAGCCCCGGCUAAAUACGUGCCAGCAGCCGCGGUAAUACGUAUGGUGCAAGCGUUAUCCGGAUUUACUGGGUGUAAAGGGCGCGCAGGCGGCACGGCAAGCCUGAUGUGAAAGCCCGCGGCCCAACCGCGGGACUGCAUUGGGAACUACCGGGCUGGAGUGACGGAGAGGUAGGCGGAAUUCCUAGUGUAGCGGUGAAAUGCGUAGAUAUUAGGAGGAACACCGAUUGCGAAGGCAGCCUACUAAACUGCCACUGACAUUGAUGCUCGAAAGUGUGGGUAGCAAACAGGAUUAGAUACCCGUGUAGUC